Molecule: long non-coding RNA, 93 nt
Organism: Sinocyclocheilus rhinocerous
Lineage: Eukaryota; Metazoa; Chordata; Actinopteri; Cypriniformes; Cyprinidae
Exons: 3
Source: RefSeq, a predicted model, not a curated record
AGCACAUAAAUUUGUAAAUGUAUUUGUAGUAUACCUGGCAUGAAAUAAAUUUUAUUUCAAAUACAUUUCAGUAUAUUUAUUUUUCACUAGGGC